AUCCCUGUGACGCAGCGGCUAGCGUGUCGUUCUUAUAAUUGCUCCAGCGGAGCAGAUUAUGCAGUUAUGCGAAAGUCGCGAGUUCGAAUCUCGCUAGGGAUA
This 102-nucleotide transfer RNA is filed under the name Aureobasidium namibiae CBS 147.97. It matches the Rfam family "tRNA". Rfam says of the family: Transfer RNA (tRNA) molecules are approximately 80 nucleotides in length. Their secondary structure includes four short double-helical elements and three loops (D, anti-codon, and T loops). Further hydrogen bonds mediate the characteristic L-shaped molecular structure. tRNAs have two regions of fundamental functional importance: the anti-codon, which is responsible for specific mRNA codon recognition, and the 3' end, to which the tRNAs corresponding amino acid is attached (by aminoacyl-tRNA synthetases). tRNAs cope with the degeneracy of the genetic code in two manners: having more than one tRNA (with a specific anti-codon) for a particular amino acid; and 'wobble' base-pairing, i.e. permitting non-standard base-pairing at the 3rd anti-codon position. The record is from Rfam by way of RNAcentral. Lineage: Eukaryota; Fungi; Ascomycota; Dothideomycetes; Dothideales; Saccotheciaceae.